RNAcentral lists this transfer RNA (73 nucleotides) under Pseudopyrenochaeta lycopersici CRA-PAV_ER 1211. RNAcentral's name for it is "tRNA-Lys (CTT) (tRNA-Lys-CTT-1 1 to 3)". It matches the Rfam family "tRNA". Rfam says of the family: Transfer RNA (tRNA) molecules are approximately 80 nucleotides in length. The record is from RNAcentral. Lineage: Eukaryota; Fungi; Ascomycota; Dothideomycetes; Pleosporales; Pseudopyrenochaetaceae.
GCCCGGCUGGCACAAUCGGUAGCGCGUGAGACUCUUAAUCUCAAGGUUGUGAGUUCGAGCCUCACGUCGGGCU